GGUCGUCGCGGAGAUGGCGACGCAGCCAGACGUAGCGGUUUUGGCGCUGGCUCCUUCUGCAUUUUACGGGACAGAUGUUUUACGGUCCGUUUCUACUGCGUCUCUGGCUCUCAACUCGACGACGCCUCUCAUGGUUCAACCAGGCGUGGUCAGCCGGGGUCAGCACAGCGCGGCCGGCUCAACUCGUCCGAUCGCCGGACCGCAGGCGACUUCCGAUUUCGGCCGUUAGGCCUAGGAUCCGAAGGACUCUGUUUCCGUGAAGCGUCUCUGCCCCACCAGAUACAACAUCUGGCCUAAAGCAGUGUUCCGGAUCUCCUUCCAAGACCUCAGGCGGGUCGUCAUUCAAUCCAGGAGGCGGCGGCGUCUCAUGGGCGUGUUGCUGGUGCUUCUUACUGGAUGGUGCUACCGAGGGAAAAGUGGUCGUGCUUGGGAAAGGCAAGUAUGGCCGCCGUAAGUAUAGAUAUUGUUUCUACCUUUGCUCGAACCCACCUUUAAGAAAUGCACAGUUCGCAUGUGUGCAUCUCUCAAUGCUUCUACAGUCGGCUGUUAAUAUUUGGAGUGCUCCAACUCUGUCAGCGCUAGUUUCUCUAGAUUAUGCAAAUGGGAUGCAACACUAAACCACAUAUGCUCUCGCAACAAACAGUGCUCUGCUGAAGCACGCACUGUAGAAUCUACUCUGGCUUUAUAAUGCAGCACAAAAUAGUUGACGCCAAGUAUAGCUACUUUUGUGACUCCGUUUUACCAAAAGCUCUGCCGAAAAAAACUUGCCACCUUAUAGGUAGUGCAAAAGAACCUCGCGUGCCUAACCUGGAGAAGGGCAUUUUUUUCAUAGGUCAAUUUUUUCUUAAACCAAUACCUUCAGCCUCCUUGAAAUGUUAACAUCAUGUGACACUCAGAAGAACAGUAAACCCCUUAAUGUUGGCGAACCUUUAAUUUUCGCGGCCUUUAAUUUUGCGGAAUUCAGUGACUGCGAUUAUGACCUCUGUGACCGAUUCAAGAAGAAAUAGGGGCCACCAAGAUAAGGGGGUUUUACUGUCCAUCAGAGGAGAGAGGAAGUUACCUUUGUUUGUAUGCAAGAGUAAAACCAACAACAACAAUCAUGGUGCCGACACUUUGUGAGCCUAUCUGUGUCUAUUGAAUGAUACAAAUUUUGUUUUUGUUCGUUAAAAAUUGUUGCCUGUCCACUGUGGGAUGUCGUCUUCAACAUGAGCAGUGGUUUUCCUCUGAAGCAGGCAGCAUGGACGCGUGCCGCAGCACAACAUAGUUUAUUUGCAGGUGGUACCGCAGUUUGAAGGAUGGUUCGCACAAUAUGGGUGAAUCGCAAUUCAAUGUUCUACCUCGGGCGUAGACAAGAUUUGCUCAUUCUAAAUCAUUUUGUCUACAAAUCGGGAACUUGCAACGAAUGUACCCGCAUGGUUGGAAGGGCCAGACAAGCCUUGCGAGCGCUUCGUUUUCUAGCCUCUCAGUCCUGAACCUACUCACGCACCACAUGUGUAGAUGUUCCGGUACGUGGGAGCACUUAUUUGGAAAAUGGUGAAUGGCAACUGUUGUUAUCUUUAAGGUGGACUGCAUAUUUGCAGUACUUUUCCUCACUUAAAAAUAUGUCUUACUAAAAAUAUGUAGCAUAGCCGAUGACAAAAAGAGAAUGGCUGGGCGUCCUCCAGCACAUGCUUGUGCUUUUCACCCCGCUUUAGACAGAUGUGCUCGCUCCAGGCUCAUCAGGCGCUGAAACGUCAUCGAAGGUAGCAGACGGGCUGGAGGUCGAACAACGGAGACUUCUUCCUGCCUUUCUGAUGGUGCCCAUAUGAGGGAGUCACUCCGAGAGCCUCACCAGAGUUUCCUGCCCGUGGUCGUUCUAAAUGUUUUUGUUGUAGCUACUUGGGUGCCUCAAGAUCUGGAGAUCCUAGUGGCCACAAGCUUGGACUCAAUCUUUUUCUGUGGUCUGGGCAGGACCAUGGGGGAGGUAAUCCCAGCAACAAGAGCAUCGCAGUAUCUCCCUGGCUGUGACUUUCGGUCUGCGUCACGACAGGGGAGUCCUCGUGCCACCAGGUGUUAGGUGCGCUCGCAGCACAAAUCUGGGUUGUGCUGAUCCUCUACGCACAAGUUAGGAACUCCUGAGUGGCAAGAGUGGGAGUUUGGUCUGACAGCUCAAGGGACACCAUUGUUCAGUAUUGAAUUUUUAAUAAUCUUCUUUUAAGCAAAGUUAAGCUUUGCUGCAUGCAGUUCUUGUAAAAAUAAAUACCUGCAACCAAAUUUAUCAGGUCACGA
This 2268-nucleotide long non-coding RNA is filed under the name Ixodes scapularis (black-legged tick). RNAcentral describes it as "uncharacterized LOC121046947". Lineage: Eukaryota; Metazoa; Arthropoda; Arachnida; Ixodida; Ixodidae. The record is from RNAcentral.